Molecule: ribosomal RNA, 876 nt
Filed under: uncultured archaeon
Lineage: Archaea
Description: bacterial SSU rRNA
Rfam family: Archaeal small subunit ribosomal RNA
Source: RNAcentral
UAUCGGAUUGAUACUAAGCCAUGCGAGUCAUUGUAGCAAUACAAGGCAUACGGCUCAGUAACGCGUAGUCAACCUAACCUAUGGACGGGAAUAACCUCGGGAAACUGAGAAUAAUGCUCGAUAGAACAUUAUGCCUGGAAUGGUUUAUGUUCCAAAUGAUUUAUCGCCGUAGGAUGGGACUGCGGCCUAUCAGUUUGUUGGUGAGGUAAUGGCCCACCAAGACUAUUACAGGUACGGGCUCUGAGAGGAGUAGCCCGGAGAUGGGUACUGAGACACGGACCCAGGCCCUAUGGGGCGCAGCAGGCGAGAAAACUUUGCAAUGUGCGAAAGCACGACAAGGUUAAUCCGAGUGGUUUCUGCUAAAGGAACCUUUUGUCAGUCCUAGAAACACUGAUGAAUAAGGGGUGGGCAAGUUCUGGUGUCAGCCGCCGCGGUAAAACCAGCACCUCAAGUGGUCAGGAUGAUUAUUGGGCCUAAAGCAUCCGUAGCCGGCUCUGUAAGUUUUCGGUUAAAUCUGUACGCUCAACGUACAGGCUGCCGGGAAUACUGCAAAGCUAGGGAGUGGGAGAGGUAGACGGUACUCGGUAGGAAGGGGUAAAAUCCUUUGAUCUAUUGAUGACCACCUGUGGCGAAGGCGGUCUACCAGAACACGUCCGACGGUGAGGGAUGGAAGCUGGGGGAGCAAACCGGAUUAGAUACCCGGGUAGUCCCAGCUGUAAACCAUGCAAACUCAGUGAUGCAUUGGCUUGUGGCCAAUGCAGUGCUGCAGGGAAGCCGUUAAGUUUGCCGCCUGGGAAGUACGUACGCAAGUAUGAAACUUAAAGGAAUUGGCGGGGGAGCACCACAAGGGGUGAAGCCUGCGGUUCAAUUGGAGUC